CGGAGCUGGGCUUAAGGAGCUGAGAUCUGUUGUGAGUGAUUGGAAUGGGAGAGGUUGCAAAGAAAUUAACCUGCAAAGAACUUUUGCAAUCUGCCCUGACUCUGUGUUUGAAAGCCCCCUGCUCUGAGGUGACCGGCUGUGUCUGCAGGUUGUGUUUUAUACUGAACGGAGCUGCAGCAGAACUGGGCCACCAUGACCGGACCCAGGGAGCCGAUGUGCCCUUGCAGUCCUUGAGAGAAACGCCCGACCCCGAAGAGGCAGCGAGGUCGAUGUCAGGACACUGCUGGUGUUUCUGCUCUGCCAGGGGACUCUGAAUGGAUUUGCCAUGGUGACAUGAAAAAGACAGGGGGGAUACCCGACUGCCGGCUGGGAGAUCCUACACACACACACGCAGCCUGAUAGUAUUUUAAUUUAUUACUGUGUUUUCCUGUGAAGGGAGUUGAGAGCAGGAGGGGGG
Molecule: long non-coding RNA, 457 nt
Filed under: Gopherus agassizii (Agassiz's desert tortoise)
Lineage: Eukaryota; Metazoa; Chordata; Testudines; Testudinidae
Description: lncRNA (ENSGAGG00000003186.1)
Source: RNAcentral